Long non-coding RNA from Cyprinus carpio (common carp), 1614 nucleotides. NCBI's taxonomy places the organism in Eukaryota, Metazoa, Chordata, Actinopteri, Cypriniformes, Cyprinidae. The record is from Ensembl.
GAGCCCUCCAUCCGAUGCAUCAAAUCACGCCUGUAUCCAGCCGCAAGGGGGACUCUCCCUUCCGGUGCAGCAGAGCCGCAGCUCCCUUCGGACGCAGCGAGAGUCCCUCCAUCAGUCGCGUCUCCUUGCUUAAUCAGCAUCGGACGGGGCUCCCCUUCCGGUGCAGCAGACCCGUCGGCUCCCUUCGGUCGCAGGGUUAAUCCUCAGUCUGUCAUUCUGAGUUACGCUGCGUACUCAGGGGUGGACGAGGAUCUCCCUCCCGGUGCAGCAGAGCCGUCGGCUCCCUUCGGUCGCAGCGGGAGCCCUCCAUCCGACGCAUCAAACCACGCCUCGUAUCCAGCCGCAAGGGGGACUCUCCCUUCCGGUGCAGCAGAGCCGCAGCUCCCUUCGGACGCAGCGAGAGUCCCUCCAUCAGUCGCGUCUCCUUGCUUAAUCAGCAUUGGACGGGGCUCCCCUUCCGGUGCAGCAGACCCGUCGGCUCCCUUCGGUCGCAGGGUUAAUCCUCAGUCUGUCAUUCUGAGUUACGCUGCGUACUCAGGGGUGGACGAGGAUCUCCCUCCCGGUGCAGCAGAGCCGUCGGCUCCCUUCGGUCGCAGCGGGAGCCCUCCAUCCGACGCAUCAAACCACGCCUCGUAUCCAGCCGCAAGGGGGACUCUCCCUUCCGGUGCAGCAGAGCCGCAGCUCCCUUCGGACGCAGCGAGAGUCCCUCCAUCAGUCGCGUCUCCUUGCUUAAUCAGCAUUGGACGGGGCUCCCCUUCCGGUGCAGCAGACCCGUCGGCUCCCUUCGGUCGCAGGGUUAAUCCUCAGUCUGUCAUUCUGAGUUACGCUGCGUACUCAGGGGUGGACGAGGAUCUCCCUCCCGGUGCAGCAGAGCCGUCGGCUCCCUUCGGUCGCAGCGGGAGCCCUCCAUCCGACGCAUCAAACCACGCCUCGUAUCCAGCCGCAAGGGGGACUCUCCCUUCCGGUGCAGCAGAGCCGCAGCUCCCUUCGGACGCAGCGAGAGUCCCUCCAUCAGUCGCGUCUCCUUGCUUAAUCAGCAUUGGACGGGGCUCCCCUUCCGGUGCAGCAGACCCGUCGGCUCCCUUCGGUCGCAGGGUUAAUCCUCAGUCUGUCGUUCGAAUUACGAUGCGUACUCGGCGGUGGACGGGGGAUCUCCCUCCCGGUGCAGAGAGCUGUCGGCUCCCUUCGGUUGCAGCGGGAGUCCCUCCAUCAGUCACGUUACCUUACUUAUUCAGCAUCAAACAGGGCUCUCCCUUUCGGUGCAGCAGGGCCGCGGCUCCCUUCGGUCGCAGUAUGACCCCUCCGUCUGUUGUUUCGAGUUACGUUGCGUGCUCUGCAGCAGACGGGGCUCACACUCCCGGUGCAGCAGAGUCGCAGGCUCUCUUCGGACGCUGUGAGAGCCCUCCAAGGCAUCAAACUGUGCCUUAUAUCCAGCCGCAACGGGGGACUCUCCCUUCCGGUGCAGCAGAGCCGCAGCUCCCUUCGGCUGCAGCGCGCGUCCCUCCAUCCGUCGCGUCUUUUUGCUUAUUCAGCAUCGGACAAGGGCUCCCCAUCCGGUGCAGCAGAUCCUCGGCUCCCUUUGGUCCCAGGGUGAACCCUCUGUCUGUCAUCUGA